GGCUUCACAGCUCAGUUGGUCGAGCAUCGCACCGGUAUCGCGGAGGUCAAUGGUUUGAAUCCUGUUGAAGCCC
This 73-nucleotide transfer RNA is filed under the name Acropora cervicornis. Its description in RNAcentral is "tRNA-Thr". It matches the Rfam family "tRNA". Rfam says of the family: Transfer RNA (tRNA) molecules are approximately 80 nucleotides in length. Their secondary structure includes four short double-helical elements and three loops (D, anti-codon, and T loops). Further hydrogen bonds mediate the characteristic L-shaped molecular structure. tRNAs have two regions of fundamental functional importance: the anti-codon, which is responsible for specific mRNA codon recognition, and the 3' end, to which the tRNAs corresponding amino acid is attached (by aminoacyl-tRNA synthetases). tRNAs cope with the degeneracy of the genetic code in two manners: having more than one tRNA (with a specific anti-codon) for a particular amino acid; and 'wobble' base-pairing, i.e. permitting non-standard base-pairing at the 3rd anti-codon position. Lineage: Eukaryota; Metazoa; Cnidaria; Anthozoa; Scleractinia; Acroporidae. The record is from RNAcentral.